AAUGACGUGUACCUGAAGAAUAAGCAUCGGCUAACUCCGUGCCAGCAGCCGCGGUAAGACGGAGGAUGCAAGUGUUAUCCGGAAUCACUGGGCGUAAAGCGUCUGUAGGUGGUCCAAUAAGUCAACUGUUAAAUCUUGAGGCUCAACNUCAAAAUCGCAGUCGAAACUAUUAGACUAGAGUAUAGUAGGGGUAAAGGGAAUUUCCAGUGGAGCGGUGAAAUGCGUAGAGAUUGGAAAGAACACCGAUGGCGAAGGCACUUUACUGGGCUAUUACUAACACUCAGAGACGAAAGCUA
This 296-nucleotide ribosomal RNA is filed under the name uncultured diatom. RNAcentral's name for it is "partial 16S rRNA". It matches the Rfam family "Bacterial small subunit ribosomal RNA", at positions 468 to 762 of the family's 1533-position model. Lineage: Eukaryota; Bacillariophyta. The record is from RNAcentral.